This 253-nucleotide ribosomal RNA is filed under the name uncultured bacterium. RNAcentral describes it as "partial 16S ribosomal RNA". It matches the Rfam family "Bacterial small subunit ribosomal RNA", at positions 524 to 776 of the family's 1533-position model. The record is from RNAcentral.
UACGAAGGGGGCUAGCGUUGCUCGGAAUCACUGGGCGUAAAGGGUGCGUAGGUGGCGUGGUAAGUCGGGUGUGAAAUUUCGGAGCUUAACUCCGAAACUGCAUUCGAUACUGCUGUGCUUGAGGACUGGAGAGGAGACUGGAAUUUACGGUGUAGCAGUGAAAUGCGUAGAGAUCGUAAGGAAGACCAGUGGCGAAGGCGGGUCUCUGGACAGUUCCUGACACUGAGGCACGAAGGCCAGGGGAGCAAACGGG